Molecule: non-coding RNA, 118 nt
Filed under: Nodularia spumigena
Lineage: Bacteria; Bacillati; Cyanobacteriota; Cyanophyceae; Nostocales; Nodulariaceae
Also listed under: 1 other name
Source: RNAcentral
CUAAAGCAAAGAGUUGGGAAACUCCGGUGAAAUUCCGGGACUGUGCCGCAGCUGUAAUGGUAAGACCAAAACAGAGCAUUGAGUUUUUUACUUGCCAAGUCAGAAUGCCAACCCUAAC